CCCUUAGAUGUUCUGGGCAGCACGCGCGCUACAAUGGUCUUCGCAAACGGAUGCACUCUCGAAGGAGAAUGCCAAUCUUGGAAUCUAUGCCUUGGUCGGGACAGUUGCUUGCAAUUUUUCGACUCGAACCAGGAAUUCCUUGUAAUCGUGAUUCAUCACAUCACGAUGAAUACGUCCCUGCCCUUUGUACACACCGCCCGUCGCUCCUACCGAUCGAAGAGUUAGGUGAAUUGUUUUGAUCGAUAAGAUUUGACUAUGGUCAACUCUCGUUGUGAAAUUCUGUGAAUCUGACUGUUUAGAGGAAGGAAAAGUCGUAACA
This 319-nucleotide ribosomal RNA is filed under the name uncultured eukaryote. Its description in RNAcentral is "partial 18S ribosomal RNA". It matches the Rfam family "Eukaryotic small subunit ribosomal RNA", at positions 1470 to 1796 of the family's 1831-position model. The record is from RNAcentral.